RNAcentral lists this ribosomal RNA (209 nucleotides) under uncultured bacterium. RNAcentral's name for it is "partial 16S ribosomal RNA". It matches the Rfam family "Bacterial small subunit ribosomal RNA", at positions 1284 to 1500 of the family's 1533-position model. The record is from RNAcentral.
GUUCUCAGUUCGGAUCGGAGUCUGCAACCCGACUCCGUGAAGCUGGAUUCGCUAGUAAUCGCGCAUCAGCCAUGGCGCGGUGAAUACGUUCCCGGGCCUUGUACACACCGCCCGUCAAGCCAUGGAAGCCGGGGGCGCUUGAAGUGCGUUGCCGCAAGGCGCGCCCUAGAGCGAAACCGGUGACUGGGGCUAAGUCGUAACAAGGUAGC